GUGGGGAAUAUUGGACAAUGGGCGCAAGCCUGAUCCAGCCAUACCGCGUGGGUGAAGAAGGCCUUCGGGUUGUAAAGCCCUUUUGUUGGGAAAGAAAUCCUGUCGGUUAAUACCUGGCGGGGAUGACGGUACCCAAAGAAUAAGCACCGGCUAACUUCGUGCCAGCAGCCGCGGUAAUACGAAGGGUGCAAGCGUUACUCGGAAUUACUGGGCGUAAAGCGUGCGUAGGUGGUGGUUUAAGUCCGUUGUGAAAGCCCUGGGCUCAACCGGGGAAUUGCAGUGGAUACUGGAUCACUAGAGUGUGGUAGAGGGAUGCGGAAUUUCUGGUGUAGUAGUGAAAUGCGUAGAGAUCAGAAGGAACAUCCGUGGCGAAGGCGGCAUCCUGGGCCAACACUGACACUGAGGCACGAAAGCGUGGGGAGCAAACAGGAUUAGAAACCCGAGUAGUCC
Molecule: ribosomal RNA, 450 nt
Filed under: uncultured bacterium
Lineage: Bacteria
Description: partial 16S ribosomal RNA
Rfam family: Bacterial small subunit ribosomal RNA
Source: RNAcentral